CAGCAGCCGCGGGAAUACGGAGGAUCCAAGCGUUAUCCGGAUUUAUUGGGUUUAAAGGGUGCGUAGGUGGCCUGUUAAGUCAGGGGUGAAAGACGGUAGCUCAACUAUCGCAGUGCCCUUGAUACUGACGGGCUUGAAUGGACUAGAGGUAGGCGGAAUGUGACAAGUAGCGGUGAAAUGCAUAGAUAUGUCACAGAACACCAAUUGCGAAGGCAGCUUACUAUGGUUUGAUUGACACUGAGGCACGAAAGCGUGGGGAUCAAACAGGAUUAGAUACCCCAGUAGUCCCUGUCUCUUAUAC
This 301-nucleotide ribosomal RNA is filed under the name uncultured bacterium. RNAcentral's name for it is "partial 16S ribosomal RNA". It matches the Rfam family "Bacterial small subunit ribosomal RNA", at positions 509 to 807 of the family's 1533-position model. The record is from RNAcentral.